RNAcentral lists this ribosomal RNA (429 nucleotides) under Gemmatimonadota bacterium. RNAcentral's name for it is "Gemmatimonadetes bacterium partial 16S ribosomal RNA". It matches the Rfam family "Bacterial small subunit ribosomal RNA", at positions 355 to 776 of the family's 1533-position model. Lineage: Bacteria; Pseudomonadati; Gemmatimonadota. The record is from RNAcentral.
UAGGGAAUCUUCGGCAAUGGACGAAAGUCUGACCGAGCAACGCCGCGUGAGUGAAGAAGGUUUUCGGAUCGUAAAACUCUGUUGUUAGAGAAGAACAAGGACGUUAGUAACUGAACGUCCCCUGACGGUAUCUAACCAGAAAGCCACGGCUAACUACGUGCCAGCAGCCGCGGUAAUACGUAGGUGGCAAGCGUUGUCCGGAGUUAUUGGGCGUAAAGCGAGCGCAGGCGGUUUCUUAAGUCUGAUGUGAAAGCCCCCGGCUCAACCGGGGAGGGUCAUUGGAAACUGGGAGACUUGAGUGCAGAAGAGGAGAGUGGAAUUCCAUGUGUAGCGGUGAAAAGCGUAGAUAUAUGGUGGAACACCAGUGGCGAAGGCGUCUCUCUGGUCUGUAACUGACGCUGAGGCUCGAAAGCGUGGGGAGCAAACAGG